UAGUUUAACAAAACUAACAGCUCUUUCAAGAUUAUGUGGUAGGUGGUGCAUGGCCGUUCUUAGUUCGUGAAGUGAUUCGUUCGCCCAAUCGCAUUUCCAAACAACUAACAACUCAGAAUGCUGGGCAAUAGGACGUUUAAAGUGGCUCCUUACACCUUACAAAGGAAUGGCUGAUGAGAAACAACUCGAUCCGCUCAGCGUUCUAUUGGAAUGCAACGGACGUGAUUGCAAGCUUUUGUUUUGAGUUGCGGUUUUACUGAAAGACUCUACAAUCCGCAAACUUCAAUGAUCUGAAGUAGAAAACCUACAUGCUACAGUG
Molecule: ribosomal RNA, 319 nt
Filed under: Globigerinoides sacculifer
Lineage: Eukaryota; Foraminifera; Rotaliida; Globigerinidae
Description: partial 18S ribosomal RNA
Source: RNAcentral